Saccostrea cuccullata (small rock oyster) is the source of this 797-nucleotide long non-coding RNA. RefSeq lists it as uncharacterized. The record is from RefSeq and is a predicted model, not a curated record. The transcript has 5 exons. Lineage: Eukaryota; Metazoa; Mollusca; Bivalvia; Ostreida; Ostreidae.
GUGCAUGCUGUAUGUUGUAAAAUGGCAACGUUUCGCCUUUUAUCAUGUUUAUUAAAAUGUAUGCUCCAUAUGUAUGUUCUCUCUCUAUAUAUAAAUGAAUACUUUUCGGAAUUAAAAAAAAAUAUUUUUAACCCCGCUCAAAUUAUCCGGAUGAUAAUAGUUACACCGAGCAUGGUUUCGUAGUUAAAUUCAGACUGUAGAACAUCCGGUUUGAAUACAUGUGUUUUCUGACUUUUCGGAUAGCCAACUCUUGUUUUCUGGAACUUACGACUUAUGGCAAGAGAGAAGAAAACUGUGACGUUAAAAGAAAACCAGUGAGAUAAAAUCAUAGAAAAUGCAUGAUGAUUCAGGAUGUGGUCAUUUGUGACAUUAAAACAGGAAUUGUCAUCACCAAUAGACUAAUUUCACUUUCCUAAGAGUUUUCUCCAAUUGUCGGCGUAUCGCUCAUUUUUCCCACUUUGUCUUUUGUCCUGUUCUGUGGAUGCCCUAAGACAGUGUCUACCCAUCACUCCAUCUGAUAUCACUUGUUCUGAGCAUAUUUCUCUCUCAAACUUAAACUACAGAGAGCCUGUGGAUAGAGGAUGAAGAGUGACCUUGGACUAAUUUUCUAGGUCAAAGAUCAUAGGUGAUGUGAAGAGAACCAGGAAACUGAUGUUGAAAGAAGUACUUAAUGACCCUUAUGAAUGGACUUAAAUGUGAAAGACUGUUCAAUUGUUUAUCUAAGAUAUAUGAAUUUAUUUAAUAUUUUGAUAUCAUUGAAAAAUUCAGUUACAGUUUUUGUACAUCAAAUGAAUUAU